Molecule: ribosomal RNA, 354 nt
Filed under: Triticum aestivum (bread wheat)
Lineage: Eukaryota; Viridiplantae; Streptophyta; Magnoliopsida; Poales; Poaceae
Description: partial small subunit ribosomal RNA
Source: RNAcentral
AUGGAGUGUGGAAGAAAGACAAUGAUGAGAUGUUUCCAGCCUGAGGCUGGCGCGGCCUUAGUUCUUGGCGACAUCAUCGAACCCCUCUCCAGCCCCAACGGAACCAAGCAAACCAUCACAAUCAAACUCCUCAAGAGAUUUGGUUCCAAUGGGGGCUACCUCCCAACGGACAAAGCCAUGUCCACGGCCAUGGCGGCGUCUUUCAGCAACAUCCAGAUUAUUGAUCAGAACGGGCAAGCUUCACUCUUGUCCCCCAACUUGUCCGCGUAUAUGACUAGGGCAGACACAUACUCCAUCAGUUCCGUGAUCAAUGGCAAGUUCUUCUAUGGCGGACCCUUCCAGUUGACCGCUUGA